CCCCAGCUGCAGACAGAGGGCUGGCGGCUCCCUGGGCUCCAGAGAUCUUCGCACAUCCCUGCUCUGCCAGGGCUCCCACCUUGCAGACAGGAGAAGGUGGCUGAGGCCCAGCCAGAGCCCCCCACAGCCUCGCAGCGGAUAGCUAAAGAGGAAGCCUGGCUCAGCUACGCCUGGAGUCCGCCAAGAAGGGACAGCGCUCAAUGGUAGAAUGACACAUGGGUGCUCUAACAGAUUCCCGUUUUGUGAAGAUGGACAAGCUCUAAGCAGGAGGACUUACAGGAGGUCAGCGGCUGGUGGCCCUGGCAGGGCUAUCAUGGACCUGUUCCAUGAAGAAAGAGACACAGAUCUCUCUGUGGAAAGGUGCAGGCUCUGCUGCAGGAGGAAAAUGGCAACAAGAAGCCCAGUUGGUGAGUUGAUGGGACUCCGUGCAGCCAUCUCGCGUGGCCACCGUGAAGUAUGGACCAGCCCAGAGAAGAGUUUGUGUCUUUAUUUUCCUGUCGUGGAUGCAGAGAGCUCCUGCGGGUGUUUACAAAAGGUCCCUUGGUGUCAUUCUGCUUCUUGGCCCUCCAUCACUCAUGGAAUCACAGCUGAUGCCUGGGCUCACAGUUCUCCGAGAAAUCACUGGUGCCAGGGAAAAGUGUUCUCUGAUUGAUAUAGCACACUUGCUAUGUUUCACAGUUCAGCCCAAGCUCUAGCUGCUAUUUCUUAAGCAAAUGUGUGCUGUCUUCGUGGAGGUGGCAGUGGAGAAAGGAAAAUAUCAGCUCUCAGUGAUAUCACUAACAACACCCAGGGCAACAAUUACGCUGGCACGUCCUUUACUCUGGGACCUGCCUGGCCCUGAGGCCGUGUGGGCUUUGCUGGUCGGGUCCUCCCAGCCCUAAGAGGGGCAGGUCUCAGGAUCCCAUUUUGCAGACCGGGAAGUGGGGUCACCAGACAAGGACUGCACACUGUCCCACAACAAGGAGUUGUUGGAUCCCAGUCCCAAACCCAACGUGUGUGACUUCAGAACUGGUGCUCUGAGGAGCUUCUCAGUCACCAUCACUGUGCACUCCCUUAGCAGGGAUGGAUGUGGAAACUCACUCCUGAAUUGGACAACUAUUGCUGUUUUCCGUGGAGCUGCCAGAGGGAUCAUUGUAGAGCAACGGUCACCAGAGCACCACUCAGCUGUAAACACUCACUGCAACGAAGCUAAACCCAGACGACAGAUCUGGCAUGGCCUGGCCUCCGCUGCUCCCCAGCCUGGAGGACUCUGGCCAUGCCUCGGGGACAUUUCUAGGCUGGAGCAUAGACGAGCCAGUGCACGGACCUCCAGUUCUGAGUCCUGCCCUAACACCUGGGAGGAACGUGUGAGUUGUUGAUGAGCCGCGAUCUGUAGCCAUGCUGGAGGAGUUGGCAUGAAUGGGAAAUCCACCUUUCUUGCAAACUCCGACAUGCCACUGAGAAUUCAGAGUGAUAAGCUUAGCCUAAAGCUGCCUCCUCACAUAAGUUCAGCCUAAAUG
Molecule: long non-coding RNA, 1499 nt
Filed under: Homo sapiens (human)
Lineage: Eukaryota; Metazoa; Chordata; Mammalia; Primates; Hominidae
Description: HSALNT0279152
Source: RNAcentral